UGUGUAAGCGCAGCGAUGCGUUGAGCUAACCGGUACUAAUGAACCGUGAGGCUUAACCUUACAACGCCAAAG
Molecule: ribosomal RNA, 72 nt
Filed under: Cronobacter sakazakii
Lineage: Bacteria; Pseudomonadati; Pseudomonadota; Gammaproteobacteria; Enterobacterales; Enterobacteriaceae
Description: partial 23S ribosomal RNA
Source: RNAcentral